AACGAACGCUGGCGGCAGGCCUAACACAUGCAAGUCGAACGAGAAACCACCCUUCGGGGUAGGAGUAGAGUGGCGCACGGGUGAGUAACGCGUGGGAACCUACCUCAGGGUACGGAAUAACCCAGGGAAACUUGGGCUAAUACCGUAUACGCCUUACGGGGGAAAGAUUUAUCGCCCUGGGAUGGGCCCGCGUCGGAUUAGCUUGUUGGUGAGGUAACGGCUCACCAAGGCGACGAUCCGUAGCUGGUCUGAGAGGAUGAUCAGCCACACUGGAACUGAGACACGGUCCAGACUCCUACGGGAGGCAGCAGUGGGGAAUAUUAGGCAAUGGGGGAAACCCUGACCUAGCCAUGCCGCGUGGGUGAAGAAGGUCUUAGGAUUGUAAAGCCCUUUCAGCGGGGAAGAUGAUGACGGUACCCGCAGAAGAAGCCCCGGCUAACUCCGUGCCAGCAGCCGCGGUAAUACGGAGGGGGCUAGCGUUGUUCGGAUUCACUGGGCGUAAAGGGUGCGUAGGCGGUCGGCUAAGUCUGAUGUGAAAUCUUCGAGCCCAACUCGAAAACUGCAUCGGAUACUAAUUGGC
This 580-nucleotide ribosomal RNA is filed under the name uncultured bacterium. RNAcentral describes it as "bacterial SSU rRNA". It matches the Rfam family "Bacterial small subunit ribosomal RNA", at positions 28 to 641 of the family's 1533-position model. The record is from RNAcentral.